Molecule: ribosomal RNA, 708 nt
Filed under: Triticum aestivum (bread wheat)
Lineage: Eukaryota; Viridiplantae; Streptophyta; Magnoliopsida; Poales; Poaceae
Description: partial small subunit ribosomal RNA
Source: RNAcentral
AUGGCACGCGCAUUGCUUCUCGGGGCGUUGCCGGAGGAUGUGCUGCUGCAGGUAUCGACGAAGCUCACCGCCAGGGAGGUAUGGGACACCGUGAAGGUGAGCUUCGUCGGCGCCGAUCGGGUCCGUGCAGCGAGGCUGGCGACACUGCGCGGCGAAUUUGACCGCCUGAAGAUGGCGGACGGCGAGGAGCUCGACGUGUAUGGCGGGAGGCUCGCGGCGAUGGCGGCGAGGUACGCCAACCUUGGGGAGACGUUGGGCGACGCGGCACUCGUCAAGAAGCUGCUGGAUACGGUGCCGGAUCGGCUCUUCCCCGUUGUCGCCGGCAUCGAGCAGUUCCACGACGUGACGAUGAUGGCGUUCGACGAAGCGCUCGGGCGGCUGCGCGCGUUCGACGAGCGAGUUCGGCGUCAACGGCAGAACAGCGGCGAGCGGGCGGACGGACAACUCUUGUUCACGGCGACGCAGUGGCGGGCGCGGGAGCGGCAUCACGGCAGAGCACGGGACGACGACAACGGGCGCAGCGUGGCGUCGGGGAGCGGCGGCAACAGGCGCAGGCGCUGCUACAAGUGCGGGAAGCACGGGCACUUCCGGCGCGAGUGCCCGCAGCUGCGGAAAGGACCGGCGGCGGAACAGGCUCUUUUGGCGGUGCCAACGUCGACAACGACAGACUCCUCUAGGCCGUGGCUUAGAGGGUGUGUGUUGAAAUAA